This 800-nucleotide ribosomal RNA is filed under the name uncultured archaeon. RNAcentral's name for it is "bacterial SSU rRNA". It matches the Rfam family "Archaeal small subunit ribosomal RNA", at positions 4 to 828 of the family's 1478-position model. The record is from RNAcentral.
UUCGGUUGAUCCCGCCGGACCUGACUGCUAUCGGAUUGGUACUAAGCCAUGCGAGUCGUUGUACAAUACAAGGCGAACUGCUCAGUAACACGUAGUUAACCUAACCUAUGGAUGGGGAUAACCUCGGGAAACUGAGAAUAAUACCCAAUAGAUCACAGUGCCUGGAAUGGCCUGUGAUUGAAAUGAUUUAUCGCUGUAGGAUGGGACUGCGGCCUAUCAGCUUGUUGGUGAGGUAAUGGCCCACCAAGGCUAUAACAGGUACGGGCUCUGAGAGGAGGGGCCCCCCNNGGAAGCAAUUGNGGUACUGAGACACGGACCCAGGCCCUAUGGGGCGCAGCAGGCGAGAAACCUUUGCAAUGUGCGAAAGCACGACAAGGUUAAUCCGAGUGUCUCCUGCUAAAGGAGUCUUUUGUCAGUUGUAGAAUCACUGGUGAAUAAGGGGUGGGCAAGUUCUGGUGUCAGCCGCCGCGGUAAAACCAGCACCUCGAGUGGUCAGGAGGUUUAUUGGGCCUAAAGCAUCCGUAGCCGGUUGCAUAAGUUUUCGGUUAAAUCUAUGCGCUCAACGUAUAGGCCGNCGAAAAUACUGUGCAGCUAGGGAGUGGGAGAGGUACCCGGUACUCAAUAGGAAGGGGUACCAUCCUUUGAUCUUUUGAUGACCCCUGUGGCGAAGGCGGGUACAGAACACGUCGACGGGAGGUUGAAGCUGGGGAGCAACGAUUUGUACCGGGUGUCCCGUGUUACGAUGGACCCGGGUGCUUGUUGUGGCGUGCUUGCGAGGACCCGGAAUUUCGCUGGAAUCU